Molecule: ribosomal RNA, 558 nt
Filed under: uncultured Ascomycota
Lineage: Eukaryota; Fungi; Ascomycota
Description: SSU rRNA
Rfam family: Eukaryotic small subunit ribosomal RNA
Source: RNAcentral
UGGAAGGGGUGUAUUUAUUAGAUUAAAAACCAAUGCCCUUCGGGGCUCUCUGGUGAUUCAUAAUAACUUCUCGAAUCGCACGGCCUUGCGCCAGCGAUGGUUCAUUCAAAUUUCUGCCCUAUCAACUUUCGACGGCUGGGUCUUGGCCAGCCAUGGUGACAACGGGUAACGGAGGGUUAGGGCUCGACCCCGGAGAAGGAGCCUGAGAAACGGCUACUACAUCCAAGGAAGGCAGCAGGCGCGCAAAUUACCCAAUCCCGACACGGGGAGGUAGUGACAAUAAAUACUGAUACAGGGCUCUUUCGGGUCUUGUAAUUGGAAUGAGUACAAUUUAAAUCCCUUAACGAGGAACAAUUGGAGGGCAAGUCUGGUGCCAGCAGCCGCGGUAAUUCCAGCUCCAAUAGCGUAUAUUAAAGUUGUUGAGGUUAAAAAGCUCGUAGUUGAACCUUGGGCCUAGCCGGCCGGUCCGCCUCACCGCGUGCACUGGCUCGGCUGGGCCUUUCCUUCUGGAGAACCGCAUGCCCUUCACUGGGUGUGCCGGGGAACCAGGACUUUUAC